Molecule: long non-coding RNA, 1400 nt
Filed under: Homo sapiens (human)
Lineage: Eukaryota; Metazoa; Chordata; Mammalia; Primates; Hominidae
Description: HSALNT0377868
Source: RNAcentral
CCGGGCGCGGGGACCACUUACCGCUCGGCCCGGCCUCCCGGUGCCGCCGCGCGUCCCGGGCGCGUCCGCCGCGCGCUCUCCCUGGGGAGAAAGAGAAACCGUGUAGACGGCCGGCGCGCGCUCACUCGCCGCCUCCUCUGCGGAGAGCGGCGAGGCCGGCCCGAGGCGGGCGCCGAGCGCGGAGCGGAGGGGGGCCCGAGGGAGGCGGGGGUGGAAUCAGCCCAAUUCCCGAGGCUGGCUCCGAGGGGGACCCGGAAUACAGGCUGGCGGGGGGCCGGCGGGGGCCGAGCUCCCGGAGGAGGGGAAGGCGGAGGUGGCCCCGUCCUUGGGCAUCAACUAUUGUCUAGGCGCCCGGGCCCCCGCUCGCGCCGUCCCCGAGGCUCAGCGCCCCCAUCCCGCCCGCCAGCAGAAAGAACUGAGGGGGCGGCCAGUACGGGAAGCAAGUGCGGGGGUCCGGGCUCCGAAGGUCCAAGUCUCGGGUGAGAUCACCACGGAGCGGCUUAGCGCGGCGCACAAGUCUCGCGAGAGAAGCGGCGGCUGGGCCCUGCAGGCGGAGGAAGUGGAAAAAGUCGCGGGAGGGUAGGGGACCGCGGAACUUCUGGUUGCUAUGACGACGGCAAAGCCCUGGAUUCCUGUCUCCUGCGGAGAGCAGAGGCUGCAAACGCAUCCGCAGACGCCUUUAUACGUACUCCAAAAUGCUAGUAAGGAUGAAGAUGAACUCUCCUCAGCCCGUGUCUUUUAACUGUAGAAACUUUUCUGAGAAAUGAAAAGAGGCUUGCUCAUGACUUGGAAGCGGUGGGCUGAGGCCUCCCAAGACCAUCUGGCUUGUUCCAUUGCCAGCCAGAGUGGAGGCGACAUUCACACGAACCCAGGAGCUGCAGGGGCGCGUGAGCUACAGCUGCCUUGUGGCAUCCAAGGAGUGCGCAACUAGUCUCACUCUGUUGCCCAGGCUGGAGUGCAGUGGCGCGAUCUCAGCUUACUUCAGCCUCCGCCUCCCGGUUUCAAGUGAAUUCUCCAGCCUCAACUUCACAAGUAGCUGGGAUUACAGCCACUUUUUAUCUUCUCUCCUGCAAUCCAACCCACAUAAUUUCCAUGAAGAAAGCGGAGUGGUGUCAUUUUACAACAAGAAAACUGAGUUAAGAAUAAGUCCAAUCAAUUGCUAGGUGUUGAGACUGAAAUGGAAGUCUCUUAGUACUCCACCCAAGGAUUUUCAUAUUAAACAAUUAUCUUGUCAUCAUUUUAUUUCUGAGUUAUUCUCUUCAGUUUUUGUUCUCUUCAAUUUUCAGAAAAAUUGAAAAUGCUAAUAACAUGUGUUCUGGUCCCUUGAAUCAGAAAUUUCAAGUACACGCAGAAUGAAUUUUCACUGACCCUCCUCCCCUGUGUGCUCAGAUUUCUCUUAU